This is a non-coding RNA of Ciona intestinalis (vase tunicate), 745 nucleotides long. NCBI's taxonomy places the organism in Eukaryota, Metazoa, Chordata, Ascidiacea, Phlebobranchia, Cionidae. The record is from RefSeq and is a predicted model, not a curated record.
GUACGUAAUGUUUCAGCAUAUUUUAUUAACUCGCGGUUUAGUGAUUCGAACUCACAAACCACAAAAUUUUGGCAGUUUAUUUACGAUUCAGCAAGCAUUCAUAAUGACCAUCUUACUGAAUUUCAGGUAUUUUAAAAAUGUGGCAUUGAUUCAUCAUCGAAUUUUACUUAUCAACAGUAAAGAAAGUACUGCUGUUGAGAAGUAAAAAACUGUUUUUUUUUCUUGCCCGCAUCCUAUCUUUUCCCCAUACUAUAGAAAAAAAUCAUAAAGCAGAGUAGACCCCUAAAUUACAAGACGUAAGUUUGUUCUUAUACAGAAAUAUUUUCGUUAAGUUACAGACGCUUUAAACUUGGACCAUCUGCAGCAGGCGUGUCGGGGUGAGGACGGUUUGUUUGACUGCGGCAAUGGCCAGUGCAUCCCUCGACGUCUUCUAAGGAAUCUCGGCCGAGACUGCGAUAAUAACGCCGACGAGGAAGCAGGUUAUUUUCAAUGCAACGACAACGAGGUGAAGUGUCGUUUCAGCAACCGCUGUGCGCAAAGACAUAAUAUCAACACAGCGGAUAGCUGCACUGAAAACGAACAGUUUAUUCUGCCAUGUCGCGAAGAGGAAGGUAUACCAAUGUUUAACAUGUAUACAGUAUGUUUGAAAAGUCACUGUGCACUUGCGUAUUUAUUAACAGACAUGUUUCAGUAUAGAAUCCAGGAGGUAAAUAUGAAUGACAAUUAUAAAUGAUGUUGAAAGUGA